CUACGGGGGGCUCCAGUGGGGAAUAUUGCACAAUGGAGGAAACUCUGAUGCAGCAACGCCGCGUGGAGGAUGACACUUUUCGGAGCGUAAACUCCUUUUAUAUAGGAAGAAGAUGACGGUACUAUAUGAAUAAGCGCCGGCUAACUCCGUGCCAGCAGCCGCGGUAAUACGGAGGGCGCAAGCGUUACUCGGAAUCACUGGGCGUAAAGAGCGUGUAGGCGGAUUAAAAAGUCAGAAGUGAAAUCCUAUAGCUUAACUAUAGAACUGCUUCUGAAACUCUUAAUCUAGAAUAUGGGAGAGGUAGAUGGAAUUUCUGGUGUAGGGGUAAAAUCCGUAGAGAUCAGAAGGAAUACCGAUUGCGAAGGCGAUCUACUAGAACAUUAUUGACGCUGAGACGCGAAGGCGUGGGGAGCAAACAGGAUUAGAUACCCUAGUAGUC
This 439-nucleotide ribosomal RNA is filed under the name uncultured bacterium. RNAcentral describes it as "partial 16S ribosomal RNA". It matches the Rfam family "Bacterial small subunit ribosomal RNA", at positions 339 to 795 of the family's 1533-position model. The record is from RNAcentral.